UGGGAAUCUUGCACAAUGGGCGAAAGCCUGAUGCAGCAACGCCGCGUGCGGGAAGACCAGCCUAGGGUUGAUAACCGCUUUCAGCAGGGAAGAAACUGACGGUACCUGCAGAAGAAGAUGCGGCCAACUACGUGCCAGCAGCCGCGGUGACACGUAGGCAUCAAGCGUUAUCCGGAUUUAUUGGGCGUAAAGAGCUCGUAGGCGGUUCGGUAAGUCGGGUGUGAAAACUCUGGGCUCAACCCAGAGAGGCCACUCGAUACUGCUGUGACUAGAGUGCGGUAGGGGAGCGGGGAAUUCCUGGUGUAGCGGUGAAAUGCGCAGAUAUCAGGAGGAACACCAGUGGCGAAGGCGCCGCUCUGGGCCGUAACUGACGCUGAGGAGCGAAAGCAUGGGUAGCAAACAGGAUUAGAUACCCUGGUAGUCCACACCGUAAACGAUGAAUGCCAGUCGUCGGGUAGCAUGCUAUUCGGUGACACACCUAACGGAUUAAGCAUUCC
RNAcentral lists this ribosomal RNA (497 nucleotides) under uncultured bacterium. Its description in RNAcentral is "bacterial SSU rRNA". It matches the Rfam family "Bacterial small subunit ribosomal RNA", at positions 356 to 870 of the family's 1533-position model. The record is from RNAcentral.